AGGCUGUGGCGGAGCAAAGGCGGCAAUACCGAUUUCCGUCGAGUGCACGGUUGGGAUUAAGUAAACAGAAGACAAAGAAGCUUAUUGUAGCAUCGGUUAGGUCACAGAAGCGGUUAUCAAGGUCGUACAAGAAGAACGAAAGCGCAUACGGUGGUCCCACAUCGAGCAGACAAUGCCGCUUCCGGCCAGAUUAGGGUUCCGUCCGUUAUCCGGUCACCCGCUUUCAUCUUGGAUGGUGGAUGGACAGCUCUGGUAGGUGAUUGUGUUGGGCGGUUCCCCUUGCAAAUAGAUUGUAUCAUUCUUAUCCGUUUUCGAUUAUAUCAUGGAAUACACCUAAUGUCGCUGAUGGUUUUCGAUUAGGGUUUGU
RNAcentral lists this long non-coding RNA (367 nucleotides) under Helianthus annuus (common sunflower). RNAcentral's name for it is "hypothetical non coding rna". Lineage: Eukaryota; Viridiplantae; Streptophyta; Magnoliopsida; Asterales; Asteraceae. The record is from RNAcentral.